GGGGACUCGAGCCCAGUGAUGACGCGACUCUCACGUGACCAGGAGUCGACGUGUGCAGAAGUCCUUAUAGUCCAGGGCCUGUUUCCCUGUAGCAGCUCCCUAUUGCUGGAGAAGGAGAAAAGUGCCCAAGAUCCUUUCAGGAUAUUUGGUUUUUUGGGCGCGACACAAAUCGAGGUGAGGGAAGAGAGAGGAAAAUCCCCUGAAUCCCUGCAGGAUUAAUUUAUUCAAAAA
RNAcentral lists this long non-coding RNA (231 nucleotides) under Theropithecus gelada (gelada). Its description in RNAcentral is "lncRNA (ENSTGEG00000012880.1)". The record is from RNAcentral. Lineage: Eukaryota; Metazoa; Chordata; Mammalia; Primates; Cercopithecidae.